Molecule: non-coding RNA, 138 nt
Filed under: Rhodococcoides kyotonense
Lineage: Bacteria; Bacillati; Actinomycetota; Actinomycetes; Mycobacteriales; Nocardiaceae
Source: RNAcentral
GCAGGAUAUGGUCACCGAGGCCGCACCUGCGGCCGCGUGAGGUGCAAGGGAACCCGGUGCGAAUCCGGGACUGACGCGCAACGGUGACUGCUCUGCCCGAGCAGGAGUCCGAUCGCUUGCUCCGCACGACGUACGUCC